CAAGCAAAUCAGUUAAUAUGGCCAAAUAAAUGUGUUAAACUAUUCUAUUAAAAGACAAACUCUCAGACUGUGUAAAAACUUAUACCUCCCUCCAAAGUAUCCCUUUAAAACAUGGCCAUCUUAAUGGAGAAGACAGAUUCUUGGAAAAAGGGUUUCCAGACACCUGUGGAAUGGAAAGCCAGCAGAAAACCACCCACCCAUCCAUCCUUCCAUCUGUCAUUCACUUGAGCGGCAUCUCCUGAAUAUUUAUAAGGCAGGGGGCUGGUUGUGGAGGAUUUGAUGGUGAACAGACAUUGCAUCAGCUCUGGGGAAGGUGGCAUUCUGGAGAGGAACACGUCUGUGGUUAGAGGAGGUUACUCUACUCACACGCUGUGAAGGGAAGAACAGCAAGCACAGGUCUGACCCCAACCCCCAGCAAGGAAGUCAACUUGAAGCAGGCAGGGUCAUUAUAUAAUGGGUCAUUUGUGUCCAUAAAUUUCAUAUAGAAAAAAAAUCAGACUAAAUAACUGCCCAUACGCUUAAAAGGGAAUCCAUUCUAUGUACAUUUCAGUUCUUGAUGUUAACUUUUUUUUUCCUGCAGGGGCCACUUCCCAGGGUGGACCCUGGCCAUCCCACAUGCCCAGAGCUUGACUCUCCUCCAUAGGUGAUUCCUGGGAGCUGCUUGAACACAAAAGGGCUCUGAGCUACACAGGCCUUGGUGAUGAUAGGUGCCUGGACAUCUGUGUGCACAGAUCCUUCACAAUGCUGCGUAGAUGAGUGCCGUGAAACAGGGCCUAUGAUGUGCCAGGCAUGCUCCAGUCAGUGGAGAUACAGAAGUGACGAAGACAGAAAUGUCUACCAUCAGACAUGUUGCUUCCUUGUGAGGAAAAAAGACAGAGGGCGCCACUGCACAAACACUGUUGGAAUAGUGCCACGUGAUUGCCCUGCUUGGGCCUGGGGGUUACCAGCAGAUGCUGCGGAAAGUGCUAGGAUUCUGGCUCCAUGUGGAAGGGUCACCGGGAGGACCUCGCUGGGUGCUGCUCAUAUUUGUGACCAGACCAACAACUGGCUGACUCCAACUUGGAUGAAUUUGAGGACAUGUCUCUGGGGUGAAGAGUGGUCAACAAGAAAACCUCACGUUCCCUGCUCCAGGGGACGCAGCUGGGGAGGGUCUUGGUCGUGGAAAAUCGCUGCUGUCCCAGAGUCAGAAGACCGAGCAGGGUGCCUCACCUCCAACAUGAAAAAGAAAUAAAGAUCAAUAGAAACACACAAAAUGAGGUGCGGAAAAGGGAACUUGUGCCCUGAAAUCCCUCAAGACUAAUAGUUGAAAUUAUUGUGACAAGUGCAUUCUUGUCACAAUGGGCUAGUUGACAUUUCUCCAUUAAGAUAAAAAUUCCAGCAUUUUCUAAGGGAUGUCAGUUUAACGACAUUCUUUGAACAAAAUACCCAAGCUCGCUGACUUAGCCUCCCUUUGACAAGGUCUGACCUCUUUGUCUUCAAAGGUAAAUACCGACUCUGACAACGGGUGAAAAGCAUUCACUUCAAGUUGUUGCGAGCUCUCCCUGACAUACGUAUUCUGUGACCGAGAAUCACAGGGC
This 1577-nucleotide long non-coding RNA is filed under the name Equus caballus (horse). RNAcentral's name for it is "lncRNA (ENSECAG00000050846.1)". The record is from RNAcentral. Lineage: Eukaryota; Metazoa; Chordata; Mammalia; Perissodactyla; Equidae.